CAUGCUCUCUGCUUUUCCUCUGAUAUGCUCUUCCUUAGCAUCAACAAAGACCCUGCUCUGGUCUGCUCUACAGAAAUGACAUCCGAAGCAGCAUUAAGUACUUCGAACAUAGAGAGGAAUCCAUACUGCGAAUACUGAAAUGAACGUCCAAAUCGCCUGACAAAUGCCUUUUCAAAGUCAGAAAGGAGAACAGGAGAUAACGCCAAGAGGUCUUUCAACUCACUCUUCACAACAGCUGGAAGAAUCGGGGGCACCCUUCCCCGAUAACCACUUGUUAGCUCCUCUAUCAGAAGAUGAAGACAGAAAGAUCAAGACCAUUAUUUAUCAUUACUGCUGACUCCUGAAAUAUCUGAAACUCUCAAGAUGAACAAACUUCCCUGCAAUGUUUCUUGUGUGUGUGUGCUCCAUGAAAUUUAAAACAUGAUUUCAUAGUUAAAAAGUCCCAUUGUUACACUUCUCCCAAUUUUUCUGAAAUCACACGUAGAUCCUGUGAAUAAACGUUUUCUUGAUUUUG
Molecule: long non-coding RNA, 514 nt
Organism: Suricata suricatta (meerkat)
Lineage: Eukaryota; Metazoa; Chordata; Mammalia; Carnivora; Herpestidae
Exons: 2
Source: RefSeq, a predicted model, not a curated record